Molecule: ribosomal RNA, 253 nt
Filed under: uncultured bacterium
Lineage: Bacteria
Description: partial 16S ribosomal RNA
Rfam family: Bacterial small subunit ribosomal RNA
Source: RNAcentral
UACAGAGGUCCCAAGCGUUGUUCGGAUUCACUGGGCGUAAAGGGUGCGCAGGUGGUAAAAUAAGUUCGAUGUGAAAGCUCCGAGCUCAACUCGGAAAUGGCAUUGAAUACUGUUUUGCUUGAGGGUCGGAAGGGAGACUGGAAUUCUCGGUGUAGCAGUGAAAUGCGUAGAUAUCGAGAGGAACACCGGUGGCGAAGGCGAGUCUCUGGACGAUUCCUGACGCUGAGGCACGAAAGCUAGGGGAGCAAACAGG